CCAGAAGAAGUGAGUCAUCAGAUUUUACCCAUUGGAAGGAAGACUCACUUCAACUCAUUUAUUCUUUAAAUGUUUCUGUUUUUUUUCUUCCCCACCCAUCUUAUCUGAAUCAGUGGUCAGAAAAUCCUAGAAGUGGUAAGUUGGAUAGAAAAGGAAAAUGGUCUCGUAAGUUUCCUGGAGAGUGCUUGGAAUGCAUGGAGAAACUGGAUUUUGUAGUCCUGAGUGUACAAAAGUGCUGGAGGAGAACAGGCAAGUGUAAUUAUUAUUAUAUGGAACCCAUAUCUGUUGAUGGUGAGUUUAAAUGGAUCAAAAUUAUUGCUCCUUAAAAGCAACACCAAAAUUUGUAAGAUAUGAUGCAUACUAAUUAAAGUUCAAG
Long non-coding RNA from Canis lupus familiaris (dog), 376 nucleotides. RefSeq lists it as uncharacterized. NCBI's taxonomy places the organism in Eukaryota, Metazoa, Chordata, Mammalia, Carnivora, Canidae. The record is from RefSeq and is a predicted model, not a curated record. The transcript is spliced from 3 exons.